Molecule: ribosomal RNA, 515 nt
Filed under: uncultured bacterium
Lineage: Bacteria
Description: bacterial SSU rRNA
Rfam family: Bacterial small subunit ribosomal RNA
Source: RNAcentral
UGGGGAAUAUUGCACAAUGGACGCAAGUCUGAUGCAGCCAUACCGCGUGUGUGAAGAAGGCCCGAGGGUUGUAAAGCACUUUCAAUAGAGAGGAAGAUUAAGUAGUUAAUACCUGCUUAGUUUGACGUUACCUAUAGAAGAAGCACCGGCUAACUCUGUGCCAGCAGCCGCGGUAAUACAGAGGGUGCAAGCGUUAUUCGGAAUUACUGGGCGUAAAGCGCGCGUAGGCGGAUGAUUAAGUCAGUUGUGAAAGCCCUGGGCUCAACCUAGGAACUGCAUYUGAUACUGGUCAUCUAGAGUUUAAGAGAGGGAAGUGGAAUUYCAGGUGUAGCAGUGAAAUGCGUAGAUAUCUGGAGGAACAUCAGUGGCGAAGGCGACUUCCUGGCUUAAAACUGACGCUGAGGUGCGAAAGCGUGGGUAGCGAACGGGAUUAGAUACCCCGGUAGUCCACGCCGUAAACGAUGUCAACUAGUUGUUGGUCUUAUUAAAAAGAUUAGUAACGAAGCUAACGCGAU